UUAGAGUUUGAUCCUGGCUCAAGAUGAACCCUUUCGGCAGGCUUAACACAUGCAAGUCGAGGGGCAGCAUGUCCAGCAAUGGAUGAUGGCGACCGGCGGAAGGGUGCGUAACGCGUGAGCAACAUGCCCUAUACAGGGAGAUACACCAGGGAAACUUGGUCUAAUAUCCCAUAUCAUUCAUUGAAGGCAUCUUUAAUGAAUUAAAGCUUCGGUGGUAUAGGAUUGGCUCGCGUGACAUUAGCCAGAUGGUGAGGUAACGGCUCACCAUAGCAAUGAUGUCUAGGGGUUUUGAGAGGAAGGCCCCCCACACUGGGACUGAGACACGGCCCAGACUCCUACGGGAGGCAGCAGUGAGGAAUAUUGGACAAUGGAUGGAAAUCUGAUCCAGCCAUGCCGCGUGCAGGAAGACGGCCUUAUGGGUUGUAAACUGCUUUUAUACGGGAGCAAUAAGGGUUACGAGUAAUCCGAUGAGAGUACUGUAUGAAUAAGGAUCGGCUAACUCCGUGCCAGCAGCCGCGGUAAUACGGAGGAUCCGAGCGUUAUCCGGAAUUAUUGGGUUUAAAGGGUGCGUAGGCGGCCAUUUAAGUCAGCGGUGAAAUUUUGCAGCUUAACUGUAAGCUUGCCGUUGAAACUAUUAUUCUUGAGUGUAGAUAAGGUAGGCGGAAUGUGUUGUGUAGCGGUGAAAUGCUUAGAUAUAACACAGAACACCAAUUGCGAAGGCAGCUUACCGGGUUACCACUGACGCUGAGGUACGACAGCGUGGGGAUCAAAAAGGACUAGAUACCCUGGUAGUCCACGCCGUAAACGAUGAAUACUCGCUGUUUGCGAUAUAGUGCAAGCGGCCAAGCGAAAGCAUUAAGUAUUCCACCUGGGGAGUACGUUCGCAAGAAUGAAACUCAAAGGAAUUGACGGGGGCCCGCACAAGCGGAGGAACAUGUGGUUUAAUUCGAUGAUACGCGAGGAACCUUACCCGGGCUUGAAAUGCAAUCGACUGACUUGGAAACAGGUCAUCCAGCAAUGGCGAUUGUGUAGGUGCUGCAUGGUUGUCGUCAGCUCGUGCCGUGAGGUGUCGGCUUAAGUGCCAUAACGAGCGCAACCCUUGCCGUUAGUUGCUAACAGGUUAUGCUGAGGACUCUAGCGGGACUGCCAUCGUAAGGUGCGAGGAAGGUGGGGAUGACGUCAAAUCAGCACGGCCCUUAUGUCCGGGGCGACACACGUGUUACAAUGGGGGGUACAGCGGGCAGCUACCGUGCGAGCGGAUGCUAAUCUCUGAAAGCCUCUCUCAGUUCGGAUCGGAGUCUGCAACUCGACUCUGUGAAGCCGGAUUCGCUAGUAAUCGCGCAUCAGCCAUGGCGCGGUGAAUACGUUCCCGGGCCUUGCACACACCGCCCGUCA
RNAcentral lists this ribosomal RNA (1395 nucleotides) under uncultured bacterium. RNAcentral describes it as "16S ribosomal RNA". It matches the Rfam family "Bacterial small subunit ribosomal RNA". The record is from RNAcentral.